RNAcentral lists this long non-coding RNA (1009 nucleotides) under Homo sapiens (human). RNAcentral describes it as "non-protein coding lnc-ZDHHC22-2:1". The record is from RNAcentral. Lineage: Eukaryota; Metazoa; Chordata; Mammalia; Primates; Hominidae.
CGCACUGUCUUGGUGCGUGCCGCCGUGCCGCCGUGCCGCCGUUGGGGGUGGGGGCCGGGGCGAGUCGUGUCCGGCCUGUGCGCGUGCCGGGAGCGACAGUGCCCGGCGUGGGAGAGCGGGCGUGCGGGCGGCCUCAGCCUGGAGUCGCCGUGACAGGGGUGCCAGACCUCCCCGCGUGCUCCUCGCAUUUUCUCUACGCCUGUCGCCCUGUUUGUUUUUUGUUCCCGUCCACCCUCGAGACCGUGCUUCACGAGGUCGAGGCGCGAUGAGUUAUUUUAAGUAGAUGAUUUCAUGACCUUUGAUGUUUGACUGACUUUGUCAUGUGCUAUGGGUUUUAUAUGGAUGCUGUUUCUUGGUGAAGGUUCACGGUGAACACACGUGUGUAACAGCUAAAGAAAAAAAGGGCUUGGGAUCAGUUGACGUUCUGAUGCCUUGAAUCAGUGAAGGUUACUUAGAAAAAGAAUUAUUUCGCUAGUGAAAAAGAGGACAUGGGCGAGUUUAAAGAGUUGACGGGUCGAGGCAGAUUCAAGAGCUGAGCUGUCCAGUAAGAUGGUCACUAACGACUGGAUAAGUUUCUCAGUUGUACUAGCCACAUUUCAGGAGCUCAGUGACCUCUUUAUUGGACAGUGCAGAUUAUAUAUAGCCCAUUCCCAGCAUCGCAGAAAGUUAUAUUGGACAGUGCUGAUUUAGAUAGUGGGGAAUUGUUUUAUACUGGUCAUCCAGGCCUUUGUAAGUGCUGCUAGGUCGUGGUUAAUCACGUUAGUCCUCUAGACACAGGUAAUUCUAAUGUAUUACUGGGUAUGGGUGUACUUGUUAGUAGUCAGCUUUACCAACAAGUAAUAUGCCUACACCAUGUAAGGCUUUUGUUUUGGGGACAGAGUGAAAGCAAUAGUUAACAAUUACCAAGUAAUUAGGAGCCGGGCCGCUUUAUAUGCAUCCUUUUAUGAUUCCUUACAAGUUUAUGACGCAGGUGGUAUUUUUUUCCAGUUGUGUGGCGUUUUUGCCCAUU